Molecule: ribosomal RNA, 115 nt
Filed under: Vicugna pacos (alpaca)
Lineage: Eukaryota; Metazoa; Chordata; Mammalia; Artiodactyla; Camelidae
Source: RNAcentral
GUCUAUGGCCAUAUUAGCCUGAAAAUGCCCCAUCUCAUCCUAUGUCAGAAGCUAAGCAGGGUCAGGCCUGGUUAGUAUCUGGAUGGAUAGUUUUAUUAAAACAAGUUACUGGGCC